RNAcentral lists this ribosomal RNA (1448 nucleotides) under uncultured Marinilabiliaceae bacterium. RNAcentral describes it as "uncultured Marinilabiaceae bacterium 16S ribosomal RNA". It matches the Rfam family "Bacterial small subunit ribosomal RNA". Lineage: Bacteria; Pseudomonadati; Bacteroidota; Bacteroidia; Marinilabiliales; Marinilabiliaceae. The record is from RNAcentral.
GAUGAACGCUAGCGACAGGCCUAACACAUGCAAGUCGAGGGGCAGCGGGUACUUCGGUACGCCGGCGACCGGCGCACGGGUGCGUAACGCGUAUGUAACCUGCCCGCAACAGGGGCACAGCUCCCCGAAAGGGGAAUUAAUGCCGCAUAAGACCACGUUUUCGCCUGGGAACGCGGUAAAACAUUCAUGGGUUGCGGAUGGGCAUGCGUGGCAUUAGCUUGAUGGCGGGGUAACGGCCCACCAUGGCUGCGAUGCCUAGGGGUUCUGAGAGGAAGGUCCCCCACACCGGUACUGAGGCACGGACCGGACUCCUACGGGAGGCAGCAGUGAGGAAUAUUGGUCAAUGGCCGCAAGGCUGAACCAGCCAUGUCGCGUGCGGGAUGACGGCCCUACGGGUCUUAAACCGCUUUUGCACGGGAAGAAAAAGCGUCUACGUGUAGACGUGUGACGGUACCGUGCGAAUAAGCAUCGGCUAACUCCGUGCCAGCAGCCGCGGUAAUACGGAGGAUGCGAGCGUUAUCCGGAUUUAUUGGGUUUAAAGGGUGCGCAGGCGGGAUAUUAAKUCAGGGGUGAAAUUUUGCGGCUCAACCCGUAAGGACUGCCUUUUGAUACUGGUAUUCCUUGAGUCGGGUCGAGGCAUGCGGAAUGCGGCGUGUAGCGGUGAAAAUGCAUAGAUAUGCCGCAGAACGCCGAAUUGCGAAGGCAGCAUGCCAGCCCCGUACUGACGCUGAGGCACGAAAGCGCGGGUAUCAAACAGGAUUAGAUACCCUGGUAGUCCGCGCCGUAAACGAUGAUUACCGGUUGUUCGCGGUAAACGGCGAGUGACUGAGCGAGAGCAUUAAGUAAUCCACCUGGGGAGUACGUCGGCAACGAUGAAACUCAAAGGAAUUGACGGGGGCCCGCACAAGCGGAGGAACAUGUGGUUUAAUUCGAUGAUACGCGAGGAACCUUACCCGGGUUUGAACGGGAGACGACGCGGGAUGAAAGUUCCGUUUCUUCGGACGUCUUCCGAGGUGCUGCAUGGUUGUCGUCAGCUCGUGCCGUGAGGUGUCGGGUUAAGUCCCAUAACGAGCGCAACCCCUGCCGCCAGUUGCCAGCAUGUAAUGAUGGGGACUCUGGCGGGACUGCCGGUGUAAACCGCGAGGAAGGCGGGGAUGACGUCAAAUCAGCACGGCCCUUACAUCCGGGGCUACACACGUGUUACAAUGGCCGGUACAGAGGGCUGCGAGCCUGCGAAGGCAAGCGAAUCCUCAAAGCCGGUCUUAGUUCGGAUCGGAGUCUGCAACCCGACUCCGUGAAGCCGGAUUCGCUAGUAAUCGCGCAUCAGCCACGGCGCGGUGAAUACGUUCCCGGGCCUUGUACACACCGCCCGUCAAGCCAUGGGAGCCGGGGGUACCUGAAGUAUGUAACCGCAAGGAGCGUCCUAGGGUAAAACCGGUGACUGKGGC